Jaculus jaculus (lesser Egyptian jerboa) is the source of this 169-nucleotide small nuclear RNA. Its record names the gene U1. It matches the Rfam family "U1 spliceosomal RNA". From Rfam's summary of the family: U1 is a small nuclear RNA (snRNA) component of the spliceosome (involved in pre-mRNA splicing). Its 5' end forms complementary base pairs with the 5' splice junction, thus defining the 5' donor site of an intron. There are significant differences in sequence and secondary structure between metazoan and yeast U1 snRNAs, the latter being much longer (568 nucleotides as compared to 164 nucleotides in human). NCBI's taxonomy places the organism in Eukaryota, Metazoa, Chordata, Mammalia, Rodentia, Dipodidae. The record is from Ensembl.
UUACUUAUCUGACAAGCAGAGGAGAUACCAUGAUCACGAAGGUGUUUUUUUCUGGGGCGAGGCUUAUCCAUUGCACUCUGGAUGUGCUGACCCCUGUGAUUUCCCCAAAUGUGGGAAACUGAGCUGUAUAAUUUGUGGUAGUGGGUGACUGUAUUCGUGCUCUCCCUGU